This is a long non-coding RNA of Acipenser ruthenus (sterlet), 3112 nucleotides long. RefSeq lists it as uncharacterized. The transcript has 5 exons. Lineage: Eukaryota; Metazoa; Chordata; Actinopteri; Acipenseriformes; Acipenseridae. The record is from RefSeq and is a predicted model, not a curated record.
UUUCUGCACUCCACAUGCUUACCUGUCAUAAAAAAUAAUAAUAAAAAAACGGUUUAAACUAAGGCCAGUGCCUACAGUGCAAUUCAUGUUAUAUUUUCAAGUUUUUCACAAAUUCUUUAUAGCUGCUUUUUAGCCAAGCAAUAUAUUUCUGACUGGUACCCAGUGGUUCUGGAUCCGCAGCUGCCUGUGAAUUUUUGAGGACGAGAUGCGGCCGCCAGACUGAUUGAGCCACUGCUCCCAUCUUGAAUUGCAUCGAAUGGAGAGGACACAAGCCACUUACUGUACCUAACAGUUCAAAUAAGAGUGUCUUACCAUUCAACGCCAUACCAUUCAACUAAAGAGUUAGCUCGCUCGCGGAGAGGAGCACCUGGGCCAAUGUGGCGCCCCCUUCGGAGUCCCCAGCGAAGACCGGCCUACUUCGCACAGCCAGGACGCGAACCUGCACUGUACGACUCACCCUGCGCACCACAAGGCUGCGCUUCUACCAGGUCGAAAAAGUCCCCUGGGUCGACACUGUCAAUACCUUUUAGAAUUUUGAAUGCCUGAAUCAGAUCACCGCGUAGUGUUCUUUGUUCAAGACUGAACAGAUUAAAUUCUUUUAGCCUGUCUGCAUACAACAUGCCUUUUAAACACAGGAUAAAUCUGGUCACUCUUCUUUGCACUCUUUCUAGAGCAGCAAUAUCCUUUUUGUAAUGAGGUGACCAGAACUGAACACAAUAUUCUAGAUGAGCUCUUACUAAUGCAUUGUAAAGUUUUAACAUUACUUCUCUUGAUUUAAAUUCAACACUUUCCACAAUAUGUCCAAGCAUCUUGUUGGCCUUUUUUUAUAGCUUCCCCACAUUGUCUAGAUGAAGACAUUUCCGAGUCAACAUAAACUCCUAGGUCUUUUUCAUAGAUUCCUUCUUCAGUAUCUCCCAUAUGAUAUUUAUAAUGCACAUUUUUAUUGCCUGCGUGCAUUACCUUACACUUCUCUAUUAAAUGUCAUUUGCCAUGUGUCUGCCCAGUUCUGAAUGCUGUCUAGAUCAUUUUGAAUGACCUUUGCUGCUGCACAGUGUUUGCCACUCCUCCUAUUUGUGUGUCAUCUGCAAAUUUUACAAGUUUGCUUACUAUACCAGAAACUAAAUCAUUAAAUAACUUUAGCGUAAUAGAGGCAGAAGUGUUAAAAGGACGAGGAGCUCUUAAAAUAAACAAAUCCCCUGGCUGGAUGAGAUCCUCCCAAUAGUACUCAAAGAAAUGAAAGAAGUUAUUUACAAACCGCUAACCAAGAUCAUGCAACAGUCUCUUGACACAGGGGUUGUACCGACAGACUGGAGAACUGCAAACAUAAUACCGAUCCACAAAAAGGGAGACAAACCCAAACCAGGUAACUACAGACCAAUAAACCUGACUUAUCUUAUAUGUAAACUUAUGGAAACUAUAAGAAGAUCCAAAAUGGAAAAUUACAUAUAUGGUAACAGUAUCGUGGGAGACAGUCAGCAUGGUUUUACAAAAGUGAGAUCGUGUCUAACUAACCUGCUUGAUUUUUUUGAGGAUGCAACAUUGACAAUGGAUAAUUGCAAAGCAUACAACAUGGUUUAUUUAGAUUUCCAGAAAGCUUUUGACAAAGUCCCUUAUAAAAGAUUAAUUCUCAAACUGAACGCAGUAGGGAUUCAAGGAAAUGCAUGCACAUGGAUUAGGGAGUGGUUAACAUGUAGAAAACAGAAAGUACUGAUUCGAGGAGAAACCUCAAAAUGGAGCGAGGUAACCAGUGGUGUACCACAGGGAUCAGUAUUAGGUCCUCUGCUAUUCCUAAUCUACAUUAAACCUGGAUAGGAACCGGUUGACAUGUGGGUCAUGUUGUCCGUAUCCUCCUUUGUAAAAACCUGUGAAAAGUAAUCAUUUAAUAUAUAAUAACUUCAUUUUAAUAUAUAAUAACUUCAUUCGGUUCUUGGCCCUCCAUAGAGUUGUGCAAUCAUUAUCAACAGCACAGUACCUAGCGUUUGUUUGCGGGCCAGUGAAUUCUCUAUUGAAGACACGUGUUUACAUCAUUUGGAGCCUGUUUUUGUUUUUUGACUAGACAAAUCUAUAGCUUAUAGGCCAUAUUAAACAAGUAUUUAUCCCAGUGUAUGUUUACGGCAGUUUUCUUCUUCCCAAAAUAAAAACAAAGCGUUUUUGUCACUACACUUCAAAUAAACAACUCAAGGGGUUCAUUAAAGAGUUCAUACAUAGCCCUUAGUUGUUUCUUGUCACAGUAGUUUUGUAACAUUAGUAGUAUUUACUUGGGCAAAAACAAAAUGCUGCAAACUUAGCAUAGAGGUUAAUGAUGUGUGAAGGGGCCUGUGUGCCCUUUUAUAUUAUAAUACUGCACGGCUGUCUUUAAUGCCCUUUGUCGCUUGUAUAAGUUGUUUAUAAAUACCUGUGGAGAACCAAGUCAUCCCAAACAAUAUGAACAAUAUGAAUUGCUCUGCUUCAAACGUCUAAACACAAAGCGACAUUCUGAUGUUAUAAAAAUUAAGAUUAUGGAUUUGGGUUUUGACAGAGGUCACAUGCCCUUGAGCUGCAACAAUAAAAUUGAUUAGUCGUGGCAUUAGGGAUAAACAAAAUAACCACUACCUCCCUCCUGCUUUACAUUUGUAUAAGUGACUGUAAAUGGUAAGGCGUUUGAGGCUAUGGAGCCAUAUUUUGAUUUUUACAGGAUGUGUCACAGCAUAUUAAAGAACUGUGUACGACAGUCAAAGCACUGUUAAUCUCCAUUAAUCAUUUUACAUGUGAUGUUAUACAAUGUCAGAAUGGAUUACAAAUGGAUUCUAAAUUGCAGAUUCUAAAGAUUAAAAAAAUAACAAUGAAUUGACCUUGUCUUCUAAGUAUGUAUGUGAUUGAUCAUUUUUGAAAGCAGGGCUGUCAGUAAAACUAAUGACAUAGCAAUUAGCUGGACUCAAUUUACUGUAAAAUAAGUUUUAUUCCAGGAAUAACAAUAACAUAUGUCAGAUGAUUAUACUCACACUAGCCCUGCACCCUGUACCCAGUUCUGGGUUUACAUACUACCAUCAAUGAAGUAUGUUACUUGAAAGAUUCAGUAGCCAGGAGCAAUCCCCAAUUUAACAUAUUGUUCCUUCCCUUAUAGCUGCAGGAA